RNAcentral lists this ribosomal RNA (430 nucleotides) under Verrucomicrobiota bacterium. RNAcentral describes it as "Verrucomicrobia bacterium partial 16S ribosomal RNA". It matches the Rfam family "Bacterial small subunit ribosomal RNA", at positions 355 to 776 of the family's 1533-position model. The record is from RNAcentral. Lineage: Bacteria; Pseudomonadati; Verrucomicrobiota.
UAGGGAAUCUUCGGCAAUGGGGGGAACCCUGACCGAGCAACGCCGCGUGAGUGAAGAAGGUUUUCGGAUCGUAAAGCUCUGUUGUUAAGGAAGAACGAGUGUGAGAAUGGAAAGUUCAUGCUGUGACGGUACUUAACCAGAAAGGGACGGCUAACUACGUGCCAGCAGCCGCGGUAAUACGUAGGUCCCGAGCGUUGUCCGGAUUUAUUGGGCGUAAAGCGAGCGCAGGCGGUUAGAAAAGUCUGAAGUGAAAGGCAGUGGCUCAACCGUGGAGGGUCAUUGGAAACUAAUAAACUUGAGUGCAGGAGAGAAAAGUGGAAUUCCUAGUGUAGCGGUGAAAUGCGUAGAGAUUAGGAGGAACACCGGUGGCGAAAGCGGCUUUUUGGCCUGCAACUGACACUGAGGCGCGAAAGCGUGGGGAGCAAACAGG